Molecule: ribosomal RNA, 253 nt
Filed under: uncultured bacterium
Lineage: Bacteria
Description: partial 16S ribosomal RNA
Rfam family: Bacterial small subunit ribosomal RNA
Source: RNAcentral
CACGUAGGGUGCGAGCGUUGUCCGGAAUUAUUGGGCGUAAAGAGCUCGUAGGCGGUGUGUCGCGUCGGAUGUGAAAAUCCAGGGCUUAACCCUGGGCCUGCAUUCGAUACGGGCAGACUAGAGUUCGGUAGGGGAGACUGGAAUUCCUGGUGUAGCGGUGAAAUGCGCAGAUAUCAGGAAGAACACCCGUGGCGAAGGCGGUUCUCUGGGACGGUACUGACGCUGAGACGCGAAAGCGUGGGGAGCGAACAGG